ACCGCGUGUACACAUAGACAUUCCAGGCCUGCCGGGAGUGUCAAUAUGGCGGCGCAGGGCGCCCCCUCGAAUUCUCCGUCGGAUGAGUCCACCACCUCGGGGUUGCUGCCAGAACUGCCGUCAACCCCGCUCCUGACCUCCACCGUGAUUAAGGAGUCAAACGGUAACUCCCGGUGCUCGCUGCUUCAGUGUACCUGCCCCGAGGACUCGUUGCCUAUAGCCGUGUUUUAUGGGCCGCUGGACGAGAAAAACCCGCUUCUGGUCUCCUGUGAGAAGGAGAUCCGGGAGUUGUUAGGCUUUAUGAGGAAAAAGAAGGCUUUUGCCACCGAGGAAGAGAAGCACGAAUUCCGCCGGCGUUGUGCCACUUCUUUGUUUAAUAUCUGGACUAAAUACGCCCCCAGGCUGCCAGCUGACUAUUACAAUGAAAAGCUUCUGAAGGUUGGAGAUAGCCUUUGUCAAAUGAAAGAAUACAAACUGGCCCUUUUACAAUGCUAUGGAAGAUAUCUUCAGCAGUUCAGUACCAAUUUUGAUGAGAAUAAAGUGGAUGUAACUCAAUUCAAAGCUGCCUUUUUCCCAAAAGGCUUUAGAGAUAAAACUGCCGGACUUACAUUUCAAGCUUUGAGUGGCAAAAAUAUGUGCAACUACCAGCUGGUCUGUGACAGUGAUGAAAACCUGCGGAAUAAAGAAUCCGUGGUCCAGUGUCUGCAUAUCUUGUCCUUCUUAAGGCUCAUCAUGCAGGUGGCUCUGCCACAGGAGCAUCUAUGCUGGAUUAUCUUCAAUGGUACCAUUUAUAUUUACACCAUUUGCAGAAAACUGAUGGUCAUAGGUCAGUCUUCCAAGGCCUUAGAGUAUCUCCUGUGGGCCAGCAUGUGUAUGGAGUCCUCCGUCCCGCUUCUGUCACUCAGAUACUUGACAUGGCGGGCUACUCUCUACACGGCUGUUUGCCAGUGCUGCUAUGAUUGCCAAGCUGGGAUUCACGGAGAGGCAUUUGCUCGGCAUGCUUUGGGUAAAAUUGAUGAGUUAAGGCAACUGGAAUUAAUGAGUUCCUCAAAAUCCCAGGAAGAAUCGAGAAGAUAUUUUAGAGAGGCCACAAUAAAGAUGGCAGUGAUGAUCUUCAAAAGAGGAGUCUAUGAAUCUAGAAGAAAAAACAAAGCUCUCUUUAGACCCAAGAUAAGAAUUAACCUAAAGGAAGUACAAACUUUUUCAUGGCCACGUACUGUCACAGAGCGGCUACUGGAUGAGAUGUUUGAUAGCACUGCAUCCCGGUUUCUGGCUGUCUUGGAAGCUCUUUCUGAUUCAAAUAGGCGAAUACUGCAAACUGGACCCAUUGUUACAGAUGAUGUGGAGAUUCAUGAUGUUGUUUCAGAAUUGUUUAUGGCAGGAAAACAACUAUUGAUAAUGUCAAAUACUGGUGCAGAUGGAAUGCUUGAUUUUCCAAAAACAUCUCUUCUGGAACUUGUGAUAGAAAGAAAAGAUGUUAUUUCUGUGGAUGCUGCUGUGAAGUUUAUAAAAUUAGCUUUUACUUAUGAGGAGUGGAGUUUAUUUGAAUCUUCUGCUGCACAUCUUAUUUAUUUUCUCCAGAGGCAGGAUGAUCCAGAGUCAAAGAAAGCAGAGAAGGAUUUAACUCUUCUGAUUGCAAUGGAACCACUAAUCAACAUAAAGAGAAACAAAGGUUUGAUCUUUCCUUUGGAAAACUAUAGAGAAGGAGAGGCGGCUCAAAUUUAUUUAAAAAAAAUUGCUGUUCAUGAUACUUAUUUGAAGAUUUGUGGAUAUUCAGAGGAUAUUUUCCAUUUGGCAGCAACCUUGUAUUUCUGUGUCUGCACCGGUCCUCAGGAUGUUCAGCCUGAUAAGGAAAUUGUUGUGGACACAAUAAUGUUCCUAUGGCAGAAAUGCAAAUUAGGAAUUCAGCGGCUUAAUAUAUCCAGAAAUGACUAUGCAAAAUUCACCCAGAAAAUCAGUACUAACAAAUGGUUUUAUCUUCUGUGGCAGUUAAAUGAAGUAAUUCACUGCUCUAAAAUGGAAGACAUUGACAUUGUGGUAGUGGCAGAAGUCACAUUACGGUUAAGUGAAAUAUUGGAAUCUUUAGGAAGUCCAGGAAGAAAAUUUAAAAAAUCUCUAGAUGUACCUUUAAGAAAAGGGACUGAUGAAUUCCCUGGAGCUCCAAAAGGGAUCACAGAAAUUCUUCCAAUAUUAAAGAAAAAUCCUGUGGAACAGUUACAUUUUGCUUAUAAACUUCUUGACAAAGCAAUAGGUGGAAUAAAUUUGAAUUGCAUGCCAACCACUUUGCCAAAUGGAUCUUCAGUAAUUGACCACUGCUAUGCCAAGCAUACCCACCACAUAGAUGGAGAUACUUACAAACCACUUGCCUCAAAUAGUUUCAUGAUGGAUUUGCAUCUUGAACUAAUUCAAGCUCAGCAUCGAAUAGCUGUUGUGCUUCUGGACAAAUUGCAAGUUUUGCAGACCCCAACUGUUAGCAAAGAUAUUUCUACCAAGGGUUUGGAAAAGUUAAAACAAUCUAGAAGCCCUGAUUGUUUUACAGAAUUAAAUAUAAUGAAUAAAAUAAAGAAGAAUACAUUAUCCAAAGCAAUUUACUUAAUGCAGAAGGCUCUUUUAAUAUUCGAGAAGGAUGCAACCUCUACAUCUUCAUGGGAAUUUUUGAUGGAAGCAUAUUCUUUAAUUGAGAGGAUUGAAGCUGAACAAAAUGCCCUGUAUUCCUAUCAGAAAUAUUUGGAAAGUUCAAAAAGAAAGAAAAGCAGAGUCCCUCCUCCACCUAUCCUGCUGUCUCGAACUCAUUGUUCUGUGACACUCAAACCUGCUCCAUUUACUUCAGAGGUUAAGGUCUCUUGGUACUGCAUUUUGGGUUGCAAAGCAGAAGGAAGUUAUGGAAAAGUACGGCUAAACAAUAAUCAUCUCCCAAAUUCAGGAGAUGCGAUACCAGCUGACGGUAAAAGCAUUUUUGAAGUGAAGGGUUUAGAAACCAAUGAAAAAUAUGUAUUUGCAGUUGCUGCCUAUUCUAAUAAUGGAAAGCUUGCUGGGGGUGCUAUUGGGGAGACAACUAAACCAAUUCUGGUUUAUCCACCCCUUUCUACUAUUACUGCUCGGAUGUUCCUCACACAGGUUGCCUAUCAAGUUGGUAACUAUGAGUUGGCCAAGAAAGUUUUCUCACCAGUUUGGGAUUAUUUUGUUGCUUCCCCUCUUCAGGAUGAAAAAUCUGUUAUUUGUUUAAGCAAUAUAAUUACUAUUACACAGAGAAGAUUACAUGCAGAUAUUUUGGCAGAGACUUCUUCAAUCCUCUUAUACCUUUUUCUCAGAAAUAUUUUUGUAAUAAGUGACAUCAAAAUUAAAGAAGAAAAUCUUUUCUGUGAUAAUAUUAAAGGCAAUGAGAUUUUCCCAUCUCAACAAAUUGCCAGACUGAUUGAGUGUGAGAGAGUACUAGUGGCAUUGGAACUUAGCAACUCUCUAAAUGAUUCCAGCUAUGCUCUUCAAGCUGUGACUCAGUGUUAUGGCCUUCUUGCUCCCAUAAUCUAUCACAAUAUUGUUUUGGUACCUGUUGUACAGAUCUUGAUAAAGUGUAUAGUGGUUUUGCAAGGACUACCAAAUAUCGUCUGUUCGAAGAAACAUACUGCGAGUUUUCAAAGUGUACAGCACAUGAUAGCUUGUUGUGUUUUCUACAUAACAAAGAUUCUACGUUCAUGGAGGGAAUAUGACCUGGCAGUAAUGAUUAUAAAUUAUGGGAAAAAAAUGUUGGACAUCACACCAGAAAGCAAGUCUCUGUUGGAUGGUGGUGAUGAACAAGAAGAAAUGCCAGAGGAGGAUUCUUCUAAGAAGUCUUUAAAGAGUAAGAAGCCACAGCAGAUACUGUUGCCUGAAAAGAUAAGUGAACAGCUGGCUUUGUUGGAGACACACCUCCUCAAACUGACAAAGCAAUAUGUUACAUCUGAACUCUCAGGAGGAGAAGACCCUAUAUUUCUUUAUCCUGUAGUUUUGAAUUGGUCUGUCAAAGGUGCCGUGAAAGAAGUUAUGAAAUUUAAGCAAAAACCAAGAUUUCUGGAAUUCUUUACACAAGUUAUGCUAAAAUGCAUGAAUGAGGAAAAAUUUCACCUUAUGGUAGAGAUAACAAUUCCUGUCCAUGACUUCUUGAAAAGGAGAAAUGAGUCUCUACUUGAAAUUAAAAAAGUGAAAUAUAAGGACAGUACUUCAAAUAAAAAAGCAAACAAAUCUUUAAAGUUCAAAGCUGCCGUAAUGGAAAUUGGAAGAAGUGCAGAAAUGCAACAAAGAAUGAGAAGUAAAAAAAAGGAAACUCUAAGAGAUCUCAUUUUAAAAAAUCCAGCUAUUUCUGAAAUGAUGGCACAUGAAAGAAAUAAGGGAGCCAGUGUUAGAAAAGCAGCACAGCGAUACCUGAUGGAUUACUUGAAUCCUCUAAUAUCAAGUUAUAUUAAAAGAAAGAGGUUCCAUCGUUUUUCUCUUGAAGAGAUGCCCUGGAGAGCUCAGAUGAACCUGUAUCUAGCAGGCGCACACUUCAACCUGGUUUUACAAAAGCUGGGGGAGCAUGCAAAGAUGAAAUCUGGCACUUCACAUAUGAUGGUCAGUUUCAGAUCAUGUGAUCCUAACAUAUUCUCACUCUAUAAUUCAGGAACAGUAUUACCAACAAGAAAAUUGACUGUAGAAAAUUAUAAAGCAAUGCUUGAUUUCCUUCUUACAGCCAAAAAAAGAAAGGCCAAUUUACCAUCAGAUGCUGAAGAAUUUUCUACAUUUAUUAAUUCCAAAAUGAGUGAUGAAAAUAUGUCCAAGAUACAAACGGUUUACGACUCAGACUCUCAAUCAGGUUCUAGUGCUAAAGAAAAGGAUCGAGGAGCAAAUUUGUGUGUAAUGGAUCAUUUUAUGAAAAUCUUUUUAUACUGCAGGAGAGCAAUGGUUCUUGCUCAUCGUGGUGGCUAUUGGACUCUGCUUCAGAAUUGCUGUCGGGCCUUUUGGAACUUUACUCAGGAACUACAAAUACUUCUGAAACAGGGAGUGGAUAUUUAUAAAACAUUUCCUAUUAGCCAAGAUGAUUUCCUCUGCACCUCUGUUUUGCCAUUCUAUUUGGGAGCAGAAUUACUUAUUGACAUGCUAAUAAGACUACAAAAUACCAAUUCUAUUAAGCCUGUUGAAGACAAAGGAGAAUUCAGUGAUCCAAGUUGUUACGGGAAUAUUAAAAAUGAUAACGGUGGUUCUAGUCUUAUAUUUGAGCAUCCUUUAGAUGAUGUAAAUGUGGUUGAUUUGAAAUGGAUCCACGACUUUGCUUUAAAAUCCCUGGAAGUUUUAUAUCAAGUGGAAAAAUGGGAAACACUAGUAUCGCUUGCCAUUCAGUUCAAUACAAUUUCACAUGAGAGGUAUACAGAACAAGUGACACCACUCCUGGUGUAUGCACAGCGCCAGCUUCUGCUGAGAAUACACAAGUUCAAGGGCCCAGAUAUUACUCAACAACCUUGUGCAAGGUAUGAGGCUGAAUAUGGAGAGAAGAUAACCUGCCGAAAUUUUGUUGGGAAGCAACUUAAGAUUAAUUCUUCAACCACUGAAGAAACAAGCAACUGCACAGAUUUACUAAAAAUGCUCAUCUAUUCAGAAUACAGCCGAGCCAAAGCACUUGUCUGCGUGCCCGUGGAUGUGACAGACACCUUGAGGUGUUUUAGAGAGACACUGGAAAAAUCCAAAUACCAUAACAGAUCAAUUCGACACAGCAGAAAGUUGCUUUCAUUAUUUCUUGCACAGACACAAGGGGAGAGAGGAGGAAUAAACAAUUCCACAUGUACUUCUGGAAGGGUGGAAUUUUGCCUGGGGACAGAGGAGAUGCAUAUGUCAAUACCCCCUGACCUUUCUCAGGAGCACUUCAGGGUUUUUAGUUCCGUGGAGAAAAGCAAACUUCCAUAUUCACAACUUGGACUCGUAAUUUCUUCUUAUCACCAGACUAUUGAUGUUCUCCAAGCCAGUAAUCAAAGAAGUCUUAAAGUUCAGGCGUUGCAUUCACUUGGAAGUCUUCUCAUCUUUGCAGAAAAGAAAAGGGCUGCUUUUAAGUGUUGGUGUCAAGCUCUUGAUGACAUAUUCAGAAAACCAGACGUGCUGCACACAUGGAAAGAGUUUGGCCCCUCACUCACCAAUGUCACCGACAGCCAUUCACCUCUGGGUUUCAAAGACUACAGUGAGGAGUUUCUGUCAAAAGUUGGCAUCUGGGGGUGUUUGCAAGGAGCAGUCAUAUCAGCCAAGAUAGCACAAUUUAUUCAGUCGUUGAAUGUUGAAAAGAGAACCGACUGUUGCAUUUUGUCCGCAUUACUCUUUCAGGGUUUGCUUAGAACCACACUUCCACAUCCCAAAGCGGAACGUUGCUAUGCUCAAUAUGAAAUCACUCAACUUCUCCCAGGCAUCGAACUCUUCUCAGAUAGAUACAGGGCUGACAUUUGCUCUGUAGUUGCAAGUCUGUAUUACAUUAUACGUGAACUGCACUUUGUUAGGCAAAACCUAAUAGUUCUGCCUCUCCUUGCAUUGUACCAAUAUUUUGUUUCUGGAAUUUGUCAAGACUUAAUCAGAAAUCUAGAAGCAAGAAUCCUCAAGAUAGAAGUCCUUAUAGAUUUGAGAUUCUUUUCUGAAGCCUUUUAUGAGAUAUCCCAGAUUUUCUAUGGAAGAAACAUGCCUUGUUCAAUACCUGCAGGCUAUAAAGCUGCUGGAAAAAUGAAGCUAUUUCAAUCAUUUGACUCAGGGAAACCUCUUACCAGUAAAGAAAAUAUACAGGCAAUUGAUGAAUUAAGAAAUAAAGGCUUGCCUGCCAUUCUGGUUACAAUUGGCCAACCGCAUCUCUUAAAUAAGUUUUAUUUUGUUAAAGCAUACUUUUUCCUAAGUGUGGCUGCAACAAUAAAUUGUGUCCCAGAAAAUAAACUGCAAACAGUAAUUACUGACAGGAGCAAACCAAACCUACCAAACUUGAAAGAGAUAAACUCAAAAGAUGAUGGAGGUUCAUUUUAUCAUCUUACGAACAAUGAGGUCACUCUUAGCAUGCUAAAGUCAACUUUACUAAUGGAAGCUGAGGACAGACUAAACUUCCUUUUGUCGGAGGUGGAACAUCCAGGGCUCAAGACCCUGUCUCAGUGCUCUGUUGGCGAGCUGGAGAUUGUGGUGGAGGCCAGGCUUCAGCUGGCUGCAGUUGCUCUGCAGAGGCACCGGGCCGCAUACAGUGCUGCAAUAGUGUUUUCUACACUUACACUUCUCCAGGAUUCAAAACUUUUUCAAAAGAAAGUAGUACAGGAGGACACAGAGAAUCCCGUCUCUCCAGGAACAUCUGCCACUGAAAAGAAAGAUGACAAUGAGUUUUUAGAUCCUAUUUCCCUAAACGCCCGAGAAUAUUUCAACAUUCAUCUGUGGUUGAGGUGCCGCUUAGCACUGGUGACUGCGUUUGUUGCACAGAUUCAUGGCAUUGGAAUUGUAAAAGAGGAUGAUAUGACAGAUUGCCUGAGCCUCAUCAAUGAAGUGUGUAUGGAGGCAAAAAGUGCAGGUGACACGGAACUGCAGGCUGAAUUAUUGACGCAAGCUGUAAUUCUUGGCCUACAAGAAAAGCAUUUAAAGGCGGACAUCAUAACAAAACUUCAGGAUAUAAUACAUUUGCUGGAAGGAAAUGAAUAUAUUUCUCCUCAAUCGUGGCUAACUCUGGCAAGAAGCCUUGUUUUGCUGGAUGACUUAACCAAAGCUGAGAAAUUCAAGGAAUCUCCCUUUUCAAAAACAGGAAAAUUAAAUUCGUUGACUCAGGCUCACAGUAUUCUAACUGAACAGAUGCUAACUUUUGGAGAAACAAUUGAAUUUCCUUCAUCAAACACUAAAUAUGCAAAUCCAUUAGAGCCUUUGAAAAAUAUCUAUCUUCCCCAUGUCAUGUUAUUGGCCAAAAUAAAAAUGAGAAUUGGACACACAAUGGCCAAGCAAGUAUAUUAUAACAAUAAAAGGAAGGACCCUUCGAAGUGGUUGCCUGCUCUUCAUCUGUUUGAUGUGGCACUGAAGCUCUGCAAAACAACAGCAGCCGAGGAACCGGAGGUGGAAGCUGAAAUCCUUUUUCAGAAAGGCAAAAUAGAACGUCAAAUACUAAUGGAAGAGAAAUCUCCAAGUUUUCAACUUGAGAGUUUAUAUGAAGCUAUACAACUAAGCCUGAAUAAUGAUCAAAACUCAGGAUUGAUAAGAGACUCCUACCUAGAAAUGGCUCUAUUGUAUUUUCAUCUGAAGAAGCCAAAAAGAAAUAUUUCUGGAUCACCAUUAACACUUAAGUCUCCUCUCAGAAGAAGUAGUUCUGUUAAAGAAACAGCAGCAAGUAAAUUUGAAAUGUACAGUUCAUUAGCCUGGAUUGCAAUAAGAGCUGCUGCACAGGUCAGUGAAGCUGUGCUGGCAAUUAACCUACUUAUGGGAAAGAAGAAUAUUAGAACCCAUAAAGUUAACCAACUGGCAUUAUCAAAUAUCCCAGAAUUUGCUGCUCUGGAUCUUUUGUCUUCAUAUACAGAUUACUUGCUUGAUAACUACCAAGUCGUCUUCCAGACUUCCUGUACAUUUUUGUACCAAAAUGAUGAUGUGUAUGACAGCACAGAUGGUAGAAAAAAGACUCAGACCAAAGUAGAUAUUACAUGGAUCCUUCUCCUGCGCUACUAUAUCCACCUUCAGAGGAUUAAUAAUCUCAGCAAACUGCUAGCAUCUGCAACACCAGUUUCUGGAAUUUCUUUGCCAGAUGAUACACUUCUCACAUCCCUUUACAACUCUGAGUUGAUUUUGCGCCAGAAAGAAGUACAUUAUUUCCUUAAAAAAUUCUUACAGCUGUAUUCUUCUUCUUCAAUUGAUGAAUUUCCAAAAGAACUUCUUUGUCUGGAAAAUCCCCCUCUUUCAGAAAAAGACUUACGUGAAUCAUCAGCCAAGUUGUAUCGUGACAGUUCUCUACAAUCCAUUUUAUCCUUUAAGCCUGUUUCGAGCUCAUCUUGUAUGGACAUAAUGCCAAUAGAAAUGGUAACACAAGCUUCAAACAAAGAACUUUGCUUUCAGUGGUACAUUCCUCCUCUGGACAGCCCUCCCAAGGAGACAGAACCUAUGGUUUUAUUGUUGUAUGCAUAUAAUUUGAAGCCUCUGAAGAUUUCAGAUGUUAGACAUUGCACUUUUAACAAUGUAUGUGCUGGCUCUUUAUGGAUUCCACUGAACAGGGUUAUUGCUAUUCAUGAGAAAUUAUCUAAUCUCGUACAAAUAGCUGAAAUAUCAUUGCCAGCAGCUCCUGAAAUUACCUUAAAUGAAAAUGUACAUGAAAUAGGAGACGGGGAAGAGAAAUCAGUUGAUAAUGAAAUGGAAGACAUGAUUAUUCAGUGUUGUUCUGAAAUAGCAUCUCUGUUUUUGAAUGAUAAAGAGUCAACACCACUGUCUGAGGUCCCAUUUGAUAUCUCGCUGCCAUCUAUAUUCAGUCUUGAGAGACUGUUUGAUCUGGCUAAUGGUUGCAUUUUACCAGGAGGAAGCCUUUUCAGCUGGAUAGUGUCAAUUAUUCCCUGAACAUCCUUUACACGGUGUCUCAGCAGCCCUCUUCCUUGUGACAUUUCAUCUUUACUCUGGUUUUCCUAUUGGUAGCAGCAGUGGCCAUAGGAAUUCCAAGACACAUCCUCACACGAUAUCAGGGGGAUGGUAAAACUGAGAAAUAAAUCAAGAGUGUGACAACAGACUGAAGAAUUUUUCAGCAAUAUCUGUCGGCCUUUGGAAAUUUGGUGAGAAGUAGUCAUGAUUCAAUGUCUUGCUUGCACAGAAGCCUCCAGUUCAAACUUAGAUCUUGCCCCAUCUGAUUACUUAUGAUAUAUACAAAUACUCUAAAUAUUGCUUUGAGAUUUUGCUGUUGCUCAACCGGCCUCCUGCAGCCUCAAAGGUGUUUUAGCUUCCGGUACAACAGUUUAACUAACUACUCUCUUCUCUGUGACUUCCAAGACUAUGUAACUCCUCAGCUUGCUCUCAAUUUGUUCAGCUGACCUAUUUCUUUAUCAGGUUGUUUUAGCUUCCCUACUCUCUCCUGUGUUUUGAAAAGAAUAAAUUCUCAAGUAAAUUAAAACUACAUUCUGAUAAAAAUGA
Molecule: non-coding RNA, 10095 nt
Organism: Callithrix jacchus (white-tufted-ear marmoset)
Lineage: Eukaryota; Metazoa; Chordata; Mammalia; Primates; Cebidae
Source: RefSeq, a predicted model, not a curated record